This 416-nucleotide ribosomal RNA is filed under the name Acanthamoeba hatchetti. RNAcentral's name for it is "SSU rRNA". It matches the Rfam family "Eukaryotic small subunit ribosomal RNA", at positions 762 to 1096 of the family's 1831-position model. Lineage: Eukaryota; Discosea; Longamoebia; Acanthamoebidae. The record is from RNAcentral.
AAAAUUAGAGUGUUCAAAGCAGGCAGAUCCAAUUUUCUGCCACCGAAUACAUUAGCAUGGGAUAAUGGAAUAGGACCCUGUCCUCCUAUUUUCAGUUGGUUUUGGCACGCGAGGACCAGGGUAAUGAUUAAUAGGGAUAGUUGGGGGCAUUAAUAUUUAAUUGUCAGAGGUGAAAUUCUUGGAUUUAUGAAAGAUUAACUUCUGCGAAAGCAUCUGCCAAGGAUGUUUUCAUUAAUCAAGAACGAAAGUUAGGGGAUCGAAGACGAUCAGAUACCGUCGUAGUCUUAACCAUAAACGAUGCCGACCAGCGAUUAGGAGACGUUGAAUACAAAACACCACCAUCGGUGCGGUCGUCCUUGGCGCGUCGCGGCUUGCCGCGGCGUGCGAGGGCGGUUUAGCCUGAUGGCAUCGGUGAA